UUAUACUUCUGGGUCUUAUAGUAAAAAAAAUAAAUAAAUAAAGAGCAAACAAAAAGACAGGCUUUUGUCUAAAAGGACACAACCACCAGGCGCUCCACGGCUGAAGUUUGUUUUCACUUGUCUUCACUCCUCUAAUGAACGACCCAAACUUAACGGCACGCAGGUUCCCUUUCGGGUUAUUUCACAGAAAAGGGCUCCGCGCCCCGAGGACACCGUCACUGUACCCGGGAAGGGAUGACACGGAGAGCGACUCGUUACUGAACUAAAACAUGACCCACCCACGGACUCCGUUUUUUUCCGGAGCAAUUAAUCAUAUCAAAGAGCAAGUUAUUUCAACAAAUAUGACAAACCAACCUCAGAGCACAAAGCUGGGAGAUAAAAUUAACACCACAGCACCAUUUCAAAACUAUAAGCAAUGACAACACACAACCCCCGCACCCACUCUUACGUAAACUUCUGGAGUAAGCAAACUUCUUUGGCCUCACGUUUGUUUUCACCUACCGAGGCCUUUUCAAGAUAAGACACCAGUUACAAGACAACCGAAAGAUCAAAAGAUGAAGCUGUCCCCGUAGGAGAAACAACUAAAAAUCCCUCGGCUCUCCUCUAAGAAGAAAAGGAAACCCGUAAACCAAGUCACUCCGCCGCCAGGCGGAGACGCCUGGUGAGGAGCCCGAGAGCCGCAGGUGAGCGUUGCGACCCGCAGACCCGAGUUGAAGCGGGACCCCUACGCCGCGGCGCCGCCCGCGUCCGGAGCCCACGCGCAGGGGGAGGUGCCGGUGCCCACCACACGACCCGCGGGCUCCGCUCCCCUGGCCCGGGCCCACCUCCACCCAACCACCUGUGUGCGAGCCGCCUCCAACUAGUUUCAACAGACGGCCGGGCAGGCAGCGGGCGGAGUCCCGCGCCGGGAAAACCCUCGAUCUCCUACUGCCCCGCGGUCGGGAGCUCCCACUCACUGGGCAGCGGCCGGGCUGCAGCUAGGCACGCGACACCGCGGUGUCUGAGGACGCGUCCUCGGCUUCCUGGUCCCGCAGAGCUGGAGAGCCCACAACCAUAACAAAGCUCUUCCCAAAAUGGCUGCCCGGCCCACACUGCCCAGGAGGGGCCCGGCGGGUGGAGGGGGAGGAGCGACGCUCGGCCCAGCCCGCCCCCAUUCAACACCGCCGCACACACACGCCCACUCCCAACGCCCACUAGGGACGCACGCGCACGCGCCCUGCUCGGGUGACCCUGCCGGCGCCCCACGCCGGCAACGUUCGGGGCACGUGAGCGGCGGUUAUUCCCUGCCCCGCCCCCAGCUCCCUCCGCCUCGACCAGAGGCGGGGCCCGCGGACUUUGGUGCUCCCCCUCGUCCCCCGGCCCAACCCUAGAGCCGGGACGCGUGUCAAUGAGUGCGUGGGGGUGUGUGUCUAUAUGUACCCGCCUUUUCCUGCUCCUCCGUUCUUCACCCUCCCACACCCCGUCCCCAAAUUACCUCCACAAGGACUAGCAAACCCGUUUCGUAGGAGCGUGCGUUUGCCGACCCUUCCCCACCUUCCGCUCCUUCGCGAGCGCGUGUCGUUAAGACUCCAGCCCCCCGCGGGCCACACGACCGGGCUCGGGAGGCCAGCGCUCCGGCGCGCGACGCGCUACCCGCCGGGAGUGGUAGUUCCGCUGCCGGCUGGCGUCACGCCCUGGACCGGCACAGUGCGGCUUUCUGGCCUCUGCUCAGCCGAGAAGCUGUUCCCCAAACUAAAUAAAGUCUCAUGGGUAUUGCACGACGGGAAGGGGCGGCGCUGCCAAGACGCACAGAGGAGGAAAUAAAAGCGAAAGCCUAUCGCACCCAGAAGCGGUUACAGUUACGAAGAGUUUGCUGUGAGCCCAUCCAGCAAUGGGAGCUACACCACACGAUGACCCGCAGCCGGGAAGCUGGGCCACGCAGAAUCCGGAGGGAUGGAGAAACUGCCUAGCGUGGGCCUCUUGAGCUGUCCUUUUACUUGGCUUAAGAAGGCCACUCAAAUUGCUUGGUGCUGUUCCUCUUUGAUAGAUUGUAAAAUGGAGAAGGGAAAGAACUCGCCCAAGGUCACAUAACCGACAAAAAUUAAAGCCAAGGGUGAGAGGAUGAAUGAUCUUUUUGAAUCACCCCCAAAGCUCUUACUAUUACACCUUUCAUGAGCAUGAAAAUCCUGCCCCUUGUGCUCUUUAAAAAAAAUUAUUUAUUGACAGUAUUACAGAUGUCCAUUCCUCCUUUCUGUCCCCCUACACCCAGUCCCAGCCCCACCCCAGGCCUUCCCCACACUGUACGUCCAUGGGUUAUGCAUAUAUGCAUAUAUGUCCUUUGGUUAAUCUUUUCCGUCCUCUCCCCCGUCCUCCCCGUCUUUCCUUAAAAAAAAAAAAAAAAAAAAA
This is a long non-coding RNA of Myotis myotis, 2385 nucleotides long. RefSeq lists it as uncharacterized. The record is from RefSeq and is a predicted model, not a curated record. Lineage: Eukaryota; Metazoa; Chordata; Mammalia; Chiroptera; Vespertilionidae. The transcript has 2 exons.